Molecule: long non-coding RNA, 339 nt
Organism: Ictidomys tridecemlineatus (thirteen-lined ground squirrel)
Lineage: Eukaryota; Metazoa; Chordata; Mammalia; Rodentia; Sciuridae
Source: RefSeq, a predicted model, not a curated record
AAUUUCGCUGAUGCUGCGGGGUUCCAGGCAAAGGGGACCUCCGCACCUCCGCCCUGGUCGGAUAAGAAGGAGCAGCUGAGAAGGAGCGGAUAGCUGAACGAAGACCCUUCCUCAACCAGGACAACCCAGGGGGCAGCCUGGUGGCGCUGGACUCGGCCAGACGCGAUGAAGCUCAAGGAGAGCCCUUUUCCACCAGGUCUAGAAAGAAGAAAAGCAAAAGAUACCUGACUACACGGACAACAGCUCCCAGCCUCACCACAGACGUCUUCACAGCCAGUGAAGCCCCCAGGCCUCCUUUUUCCCAUCACAUCGCUUCUUUGCAAUAAAGCUCAAAUUCAA